Molecule: long non-coding RNA, 494 nt
Filed under: Cavia porcellus (domestic guinea pig)
Lineage: Eukaryota; Metazoa; Chordata; Mammalia; Rodentia; Caviidae
Description: lncRNA (ENSCPOG00000034613.1)
Source: RNAcentral
GUCCACAGAGCCCUGACUCUGGUGCUCUACUCCCUUUUUUGUACAGGUGCCACAGGAAAAGGCAGAGAUUAAGGAGCCAGUGGAGGAGCUGGAAUGUCAACGCAUGCUUCUCUCUGCAGAGCACACUGCGAUCUGCCCCAAACAGAGGACAAACCUAACAGUGAGGCAUUGUGAGGAGGAGGACACACAACAGGAGGAGGAGGAAGAACAAGUGAAGGGGGAGGAGGAGCAGAAGGAAGAGAAGGAGGAUGAUGAUGAAGGGGUGGAGGAGGAGGACAAAGGAGUGGAGGAUGAGGAGUACUGGAACCAGGAGCAGGAGGAGGAGGAAGAGCAGCAGGAGGAGGAUGAACAUAUCACUCAGCUAUUCUCAGUGAAGGGAGAGGAGCAGGAGGUGGUUCUCUGCCCGCAAGAAGACUGUAGGUCCUGUCAGCAAGUUUCAGGGAACUGCACAGAGCCAUGGUGAGGAGCCCACUGUGGGAUCCCCACACACCGAG